CCCUUAGAUGUUCUGGGCCGCACGCGUGCUACACUGAGUGGAUCAGCGGGUCAGGUUGCGCGAAAGUGUUUCCUAAUCUUUAAAUCCGCUCGUGAUGGGGAUUGACGGUUGCAAUUUUCCGUCAUGAACGAGGAAUACCUUGUAAGCGCGGGUCAUCAUCCUGCGCUGAAUACGUCCCUGCCCUUUGUACACACCGCCCGUCGCUCCUACCGAUUGAGUGGUCCGGUGAGGCUUUGGGAUCUGAGCGGAAAGAGCGUUUCGCUGUUUCUGCCCGGAAAACUCAGUCGAACCUUAUCAUUUAGAGGAAGGAGAAGUCGUAACA
This 322-nucleotide ribosomal RNA is filed under the name uncultured eukaryote. Its description in RNAcentral is "partial 18S ribosomal RNA". It matches the Rfam family "Eukaryotic small subunit ribosomal RNA", at positions 1470 to 1796 of the family's 1831-position model. The record is from RNAcentral.